Molecule: ribosomal RNA, 460 nt
Filed under: uncultured bacterium
Lineage: Bacteria
Description: partial 16S ribosomal RNA
Rfam family: Bacterial small subunit ribosomal RNA
Source: RNAcentral
CCUACGGGAGGCAGCAGUGAGGAAUAUUGGUCAAUGGGCGAAAGCCUGAACCAGCCAAGUCGCGUGAGGGAGUAAGGUCCUCCGGGUCGUAACCCUCUUUUGCCGGGGAGCAGUGCCCCGCUCGUAAGCAGGGAGGAAGCGUCCCCGGAGACAAAGCAUCGGCUAACUCCGUGCCAGCAGCCGCGGUAAUACGGGGGAGGCGAGCGUUAUCCGGAUUUAUUGGGUUUAAGGGGUGCGUAGGCGGGCCUUCAGGCAGGCGGGAAAAUUGCGGGGCUCAACCCCGCCGGGCCGUCGAAACCGGGGGACUUGAGUAUGGGAGAAGUACGCGGAAUGCGUGGUGUAGCGGUGAAAUGCAUAGAUAUCACGCAGAACCCCGAUGGCGAAGGCAGCGAACCGGCCGGUCACUGACGCUGAGGCACGAAAGCGCGGGUAUCGAACAGGAUUAGAUACCCUAGUAGUC